RNAcentral lists this ribosomal RNA (524 nucleotides) under uncultured bacterium. Its description in RNAcentral is "bacterial SSU rRNA". It matches the Rfam family "Bacterial small subunit ribosomal RNA", at positions 777 to 1301 of the family's 1533-position model. The record is from RNAcentral.
AAUAGAUACCCUGGUAGUCCACGCCGUAAACGAUGUCGACUUGGAGGUUGUGCCCUUGAGGCGUGGCUUCCGGAGCUAACGCGUUAAGUCGACCGCCUGGGGAGUACGGCCGCAAGGUUAAAACUCAAAUGAAUUGACGGGGGCCCGCACAAGCGGUGGAGCAUGUGGUUUAAUUCGAUGCAACGCGAAGAACCUUACCUACUCUUGACAUCCAGAGAACUUAGCAGAGAUGCUUUGGUGCCUUCGGGAACUCUGAGACAGGUGCUGCAUGGCUGUCGUCAGCUCGUGUUGUGAAAUGUUGGGUUAAUCCCGCAACGAGCGCAACCCUUAUCCUUUGUUGCCAGCGAUUCGGUCGGGAACUCAAAGGAGACUGCCAGUGAUAAACUGGAGGAAGGUGGGGAUGACGUCAAGUCAUCAUGGCCCUUACGAGUAGGGCUACACACGUGCUACAAUGGCAUAUACAAAAGAGAAGCGACCUCGCGAGAGCAAGCGGACCUCAUAAAGUAUGUCGUAGUCCGGAUUGG